UAGGGAAUCUUCGGCAAUGGACGAAAGUCUGACCGAGCAACGCCGCGUGAGUGAAGAAGGUUUUCGGAUCGUAAAACUCUGUUGUUAGAGAAGAACAAGGACGUUAGUAACUGAACGUCCCCUGACGGUAUCUAACCAGAAAGCCACGGCUAACUACGUGCCAGCAGCCGCGGUAAUACGUAGGUGGCAAGCGUUGUCCGGAUUUAUUGGGCGUAAAGCGAGCGCAGGCGGUUUCUUAAGUCUGAUGUGAAAGCCCCCGGCUCAACCGGGGAGGGUAAUUGGAAACUGGGAGACUUGAGUGCAGAAGAGGAGAGUGGAAUUCCAUGUGUAGCGGUGAAAUGCGUAGAUAUAUGGAGGAACACCAGUGGCGAAGGCGGCUCUCUGGUCUGUAACUGACGCUGAGGCUCGAAAGCGGGGGGAGCAAACAGG
RNAcentral lists this ribosomal RNA (429 nucleotides) under Gemmatimonadota bacterium. RNAcentral describes it as "Gemmatimonadetes bacterium partial 16S ribosomal RNA". It matches the Rfam family "Bacterial small subunit ribosomal RNA", at positions 355 to 776 of the family's 1533-position model. Lineage: Bacteria; Pseudomonadati; Gemmatimonadota. The record is from RNAcentral.